Molecule: long non-coding RNA, 728 nt
Organism: Eriocheir sinensis (Chinese mitten crab)
Lineage: Eukaryota; Metazoa; Arthropoda; Malacostraca; Decapoda; Varunidae
Exons: 2
Source: RefSeq, a predicted model, not a curated record
UCGCGCCUACGAUGUGUUGUAUGUAUGAGGGUUACUAAUGACGUAAAGUCAUAUCGUUAUGGACUGCACGUAAUGUCUUCAUGUAAUAAUGGUAUAUGUAAGAUGGUAAAUGUUUGUAAUAAGGUAAGAUAGUAACUAUAAUGGUAGGUGGUAAUGUAGGGGAAUAGGGAAUGAAGGAGGUGGAGAAGUGAGGAGGUGGAGAAGCGAAGAGAGAAGAGAGAGGUAACGUGAGAAGGGAUAUGGGAGGCAAUUCAUCGUCUGGAAUGUUAUGACACCUCGACCCGAGAGGUCACAAAAUCCAUUAGACGGCCUAGGUCCUUCGGACAGAGGCACCCUUGUUGGUCCUGGGGACAAUCUGGCCUGAAGGGAGUGAGGGAAUAACGGAGAAGGCAGACUGUUAAAGGAAGCAAGAAAGGGAAGACGUGGAGGACGUGUCCUCCGACUUCGCCUUUGCACGACUAGACGAGGGAUAGGAGGGUGAGGCUUCCAUCCGGAGGCGAGGAGACAAGGGACAAGAGCGCAAGUCCGUUGCGGCGGAUUACAAGGCUAUUAUUAGACCCCUCAAUAAUUGUGAGUAUUAUUAGUUUGAUGUUGUGUCGUAGGAUAAGAUGACAUUUGGUGUAUCUGAUGUAGCUGUAAGUGUUGUAUUGUGUUGUCUGACAAGUGUUGAUGAGAUGUAUUCUUUACCUCGCUCAGGUUUACACGCAUAUUAAAAGCGAGUAAAACAA